CCUACGGGUGGCAGCAGUGGGGGAUAUUGCACAAUGGGGGAAACCCUGAUGCAGCGACGCCGCGUGUGGGAAGACGGUCCUCUGGAUUGUAAACCACUGUCCCCAGGGACGAAGAUGACGGUACCUGGGGCGGAAGCUCCGGCUAACUACGUGCCAGCAGCCGCGGUAAUACGGGGGGAGCGCGCGUAGUCCGGAAUUACUGGGUGUAACGGGAGCGUCGGAGGGGAUGCAAUUGGGGUGUAAAAACUACAGGCGAAAGUGGUAGUCGCACUCAAAACUGCAGCUCGUGAGUGAAGUAGAGGCAGGCGGAAUUCGUAGUGUAGCGGUGAAAUGCGUAGAUAGUAGGAGGAACACCAGGGGCGAAGGCGGCCUGCUGGGCUUUUACUGACGCUGAGGCUCGAAAGUGUGGGGAGCAAACAGGAUUAGAUACCCGGGUAGUC
Molecule: ribosomal RNA, 440 nt
Filed under: uncultured bacterium
Lineage: Bacteria
Description: partial 16S ribosomal RNA
Rfam family: Bacterial small subunit ribosomal RNA
Source: RNAcentral